UACGUAGGUCCCGAGCGUUGUCCGGAUUUAUUGGGCGUAAAGCGAGCGCAGGUGGUUUAUUAAGUCUGGUGUAAAAGGCAGUGGCUCAACCAUUGUAUGCAUUGGAAACUGGUACACUUGAGUGCAGGAGAGGAGAGUGGAAUUCCAUGUGUAGCGGUGAAAUGCGUAGAUAUAUGGAGGAACACCGGUGGCGAAAGCGGCUCUCUGGCCUGUAACUGACACUGAGGCUCGAAAGCGUGGGGAGCAAACAGG
This 252-nucleotide ribosomal RNA is filed under the name uncultured bacterium. Its description in RNAcentral is "partial 16S ribosomal RNA". It matches the Rfam family "Bacterial small subunit ribosomal RNA", at positions 524 to 776 of the family's 1533-position model. The record is from RNAcentral.